Molecule: unclassified non-coding RNA, 254 nt
Filed under: uncultured fungus
Lineage: Eukaryota; Fungi
Description: partial contains 5.8S ribosomal RNA, internal transcribed spacer 2, and large subunit ribosomal RNA
Rfam family: 5.8S ribosomal RNA (bases 1-52)
Source: RNAcentral
AACGCACAUUGCGCCCGCCAGUAUUCUGGCGGGCAUGCAUGUCUGAGCGUCAUUUCAACCCUCAAGCAAACUUCUGCUUGGUGUUGGGGACCGGCCGUCAAACGCCGCCCCCUAAAUCUAUUGGCGAUCUCGCUGUAGCUUCCUAUGCGUAGUAGUAACAUCUCGCAUCUGGAGAGCGGCGCGGUCAUGCCGUAAAACAACCCAACUUUUCUCAGGUUGACCUCAGAUCAGGUAGGAAUACCCGCUGAACUUAA